AAUGGCCAGAAAAAAUACACACACACAUUAAUGCAUAGCCUAAGCUAAUUAACAGAUUAAAAAUCAAAUCAGUGUUUUCUUGGAAGGUAGAUACAGAUGUUCACCUGUAUGGGAACUGCUGAAUCAUGGUCUGAACCUCUGAUUGAUCCCCUGAGGUGAGCAAUGAGUCAGCCUUGGAAGCACAGGUGAAGGCAAUUUACCUGUGCUGCUGGAAGGGGUGGAGCCUGGCUGCACCUCUUCUAGAUUCAUUUAAGAGUUGACUACGAGUGGGGAAGGAUCUCUUUCUGGAGAUCCUUCCUUCAGAGUUUUGCAGUGAGCCCAGGACAAGGAGGAGGUCAAAGACCACCUUAAUUUGGCAGAUGCAGGAGACCACAAAUGCCAACGCUGCCAUCAUGUGACCGAUUUUAGCACCACAGCUGUGUUUUGGAAACUAAAAUUCAUCCUUUCAAGGACAGACUACAUCAGAAAUCCAUGAAGAUACUAAGUUCAAAUCGACAUUAUUAAAAAUUGCUAUGGGUGAAUAUGUAUACAAAGAAAUCAAA
Molecule: non-coding RNA, 542 nt
Organism: Meleagris gallopavo (turkey)
Lineage: Eukaryota; Metazoa; Chordata; Aves; Galliformes; Phasianidae
Source: RefSeq, a predicted model, not a curated record